This is a long non-coding RNA of Nerophis ophidion (straightnose pipefish), 836 nucleotides long. RefSeq lists it as uncharacterized. The transcript is spliced from 3 exons. NCBI's taxonomy places the organism in Eukaryota, Metazoa, Chordata, Actinopteri, Syngnathiformes, Syngnathidae. The record is from RefSeq and is a predicted model, not a curated record.
UUGACUUUCCUUGCUAUAGAUCAUGCUGUUCAAUUCAUGCCGUGUCCAGUGAGUCUUUUUGUUUCAUGUCUAUAGUCCUUGCUAUUUGUUUCAAUCCACAGUUUAGCAAGUUUUUUUCUGUCGUGAAGGGGGGGUUCUCCCAAGAUGAAAUUGGACUAUACUAGACACGGCUUGAAGCGUAUGGAAGGAUUGGCUCUACAGUAACUGCUGUGUGGCCACUAUGGACCUGAGGAUGUGCUUACCUGUGCCCGCCUGUCAUCUCCAAUCAGCCUUUUGAUCCAGGGGCGCUCGUGUUGUGUUUGGCAGCUGGUGUCAUGUUGUGGACAGGCGGCCCAGGAAGAGGACGGACACCCAUGCUGCUUUGCAAUCUGAGCAGGAUUUCCAUGUGACCACACACGUUAACCCGGGAUUACUUGACAUCUUUGUGGUCGUGUUCAGCUUUUCAAAGACACGUCACCGACCCACUCUCGCCAUGCUUUUGAAGGCCAGUCAGGCGGAAUAAUCCAUAUUCCUGCGGUAAAGUAAGGACAAGCGCACUAAAGAUGACGCAUGGAGUCAAAUACAACUGGGAUAUGCUUAAAUAACCUAAUUUGUCUAAGACAGGGGUAUCAAACGUACGGCCCAAGGGCCGGAUCAGGCCCGCAAACAAUUUUAUCCGGCCCGCAGGAUGAGUUUGCUAAGUAAGAAAAUUAACCUGAAAUUUUUUAAUGAAAGAAACAGCUGUUCUAAAUGUGUCCACUGAAUGUCGCAAUAGCAAUUCUUUGUAUCUUUAUAGAUGAUGCUACAUAUGUACAAAAUAAACCACAUGAUGUUAGUACAUCAGUCGAGGAAAAUUA